This is a long non-coding RNA of Sphaerodactylus townsendi, 542 nucleotides long. RefSeq lists it as uncharacterized. Lineage: Eukaryota; Metazoa; Chordata; Lepidosauria; Squamata; Sphaerodactylidae. The record is from RefSeq and is a predicted model, not a curated record. The transcript is spliced from 2 exons.
GGAUCUGAGCUUUUCCAUUUCAGGGUAGCAGUUAUUCCUGGAACCUCCUUUUGUAGCCUAGUUGAUGAAUUUCAGAUUUAUGUUGAUGAUGCUCCAUUGGCUUUCCCGGGAGAUUAUCUUAUCACUUCAAUUACGUCUGUGCUAAUAGGAUGUACUAUAUUUGUGGCAUUUAUUCUGCAAGCAUAUGACAUUCAGGUGUGGAGCAUUUUGAAGGAGAAACUGAAUCAAAUAAGCAAAGUGACUCCAAAAGCCUCACUACAUGCCUUUUCAAUAGCUUCAACUACAAUGAAAAAUGACAGUCAACAGUCAUAGCCAAGUUUCUCUCUCUCUUUUUUUUUACAAUUUAGUAAUUUUGUACCUUAUUUGAGACAUGAAAUAGUUAUAGCUUUUGUUAGGAAAAUAUUUUUCAGAAUAUGUAAAAAAAAACCUGUUUUCCUGUUUAACAUGUUUCCUUGUUGUUCAGUAUGCAAGUUGGGGUCACUGUUUGACAUGUUAGAAUUUUAUUUGUGAGUGUAAUGUUAAUAAAUAUAUAACUGCCCAUA